CUUAUGCGUUGUUGGGUAGGGGAGCGUUCUGUAAGCCUGUGAAGGUGUGCUGUGAGGCAUGCUGGAGGUAUCAGAAGUGCGAAUGCUGACAUAAGUAACGAUAAAGCGGGUGAAAAGCCCGCUCGCCGGAAGACCAAGGGUUCCUGUCCAACGUUAAUCGGGGCAGGGUGAGUCGACCCCUAAGGCGAGGCCGAAAGGCGUAGUCGAUGGGAAACAGGUUAAUAUUCCUGUACUUGGUGUUACUGCGAAGGGGGGACGGAGAAGGCUAUGUUGGCCGGGCGACGGUUGUCCCGGUUUAAGCGUGUAGGCUGGUUUUCCAGGCAAAUCCGGAAAAUCAAGGCUGAGGCGUGAUGACGAGGCACUACGGUGCUGAAGCAACAAAUGCCCUGCUUCCAGGAAAAGCCUCUAAGCAUCAGGUAACAUCAAAUCGUACCCCAAACCGACACAGGUGGUCAGGUAGAGAAUACCAAGGCGCUUGAGAGAACUCGGGUGAAGGAACUAGGCAAAAUGGUGCCGUAACUUCGGGAGAAGGCACGCUGAUAUGUAGGUGAAGUCCCUCGCGGAUGGAGCUGAAAUCAGUCGAAGAUACCAGCUGGCUGCAACUGUUUAUUAAAAACACAGCACUGUGCAAACACGAAAGUGGACGUAUACGGUGUGACGCCUGCCCGGUGC
RNAcentral lists this ribosomal RNA (672 nucleotides) under Escherichia coli. RNAcentral's name for it is "partial 23S ribosomal RNA". It matches the Rfam family "Bacterial large subunit ribosomal RNA", at positions 1213 to 1869 of the family's 2925-position model. The record is from RNAcentral. Lineage: Bacteria; Pseudomonadati; Pseudomonadota; Gammaproteobacteria; Enterobacterales; Enterobacteriaceae.